This is a long non-coding RNA of Scylla paramamosain (green mud crab), 1691 nucleotides long. RefSeq lists it as uncharacterized. The transcript has 3 exons. Lineage: Eukaryota; Metazoa; Arthropoda; Malacostraca; Decapoda; Portunidae. The record is from RefSeq and is a predicted model, not a curated record.
CGGAGUGGGUCGCGUCGCCCGCCGCCUGCCUCAGUCCAUCGGCGAUGAUGGAGGAUGUACACACCCUGCAGUAGCGGAAGUAACUUUAUACAGUGUUUGUUGUGUUGAGGUUCUUGCAUGUGGUCUUGAAUGAGAACAGGCUAACAUAGGACUGUGGCGUCAUCUCGAGUGGAAUUCUUGGUUGUUGGGCAGGUGCGAGGCGAGGAAGGAAGCAAGUUCUGGGAGUGACUUCGCGGCUUGCAAUUAAUUAAGAGGUGAGUGUUGGUGGUCCGUCUGCUUCUGAAUCCUGCCGUCCGUUCCUUCUCGUUAUCCGGGUUAAGAGGUAAAGUGUACAUAGUGAUUAGUAUUAUCAUCAGAACUUGUGUAUUUUUUUUCCUAACACGCUAUACUAUCGCCACCACCACCACCACCACCACCACUACUACUACUACUACUACUACUACUACUACUACUACUACUACUACUACUACUACUACUACUUUGGCUUCCCCACACACUGUUCGUUGUCCUCUCCGUUCUCUUCUUCCUGCUCUACUUUCUCCUCCACCUCUACCUGUCUGUUUAUCUGUACGCGUGUCUGUCUGUUUGUCUGUCUGACUGAGUUUGCGAAGGGUAGGGUUAUUGAGGAGAGGUGGACAAAAUUGGUCUGGUAUAUUAGUAUGGACCAAGGCAAGACAAGGAGAAUAGAAAUAUGAAUAAAGGCAAUGGAAGACAAGUGAUUCAGGGAAGGUUUCUUUUUGUUAUUAACUGCCUCUUCUCGGUGAAAAAAAAUAAAAUAAAUAAAAGAAUAAAAGGACUAAGAGCUGUAAGAAGUGCAAAGUCGAUUUCACUCCAGAAGUGUCCUUGUAAUCAUCUUCUGAAAAGCGUCAAGUGGGAAGAUGAUGAAGAAGACGAAGUAAAAAAAAAAAAAGAAAAAAAAAAAAGAAAAAGAAAACCAACCUGAGCUUUCUACAUUAAACAGAAAAGUGAGGCCGCAAUAAUUUUCCCGCAGUGACAUUUAUGGACACGCUGCAUUUCCCCUUUCUUCAUGAACAAAAAAGGCUCCCCCGUCAGCUAGUAACCACAACAGGCGAUGCGGUGCGAGGCGGGGAAUCAAGUCUUGGCAGCACCGCAUCGAAAUGUAGACCGUGGCGGUGAUGUGGCGGGAAAGGCUCUGCGUCCCGCUUGUUUGUUCCCUCGUGUGCUGGCGUGGCGGCGGCUGUUAGCUCACGACUUCCCGCGGCUGUGACGUCAUUGAAAAACACUUUAUGCUGCAGGGAGGGAUGGAGGGAAGGGAGAGACGAGAGAGGAGGAAAGGGAGCAGGGAGAGGGGUAUGCAGGAGGGAGGGAGAAGGGAGAGAAGAUAGCAGAAAAAAGGCAGAAGGGAGGGAAUGCAGGGUUGAGAGGAGAGACGGUAGGAGGGCUAUGCAGGAGGGAGGGAAGGGAAGGGAGAGAUGCAGCAGGGAGAGUAUGUAGGAGGGAGGUAAGGAAGAGCAAAGAGAGAGGCAGCAGGGAGGGUAUGUAGGAAGGGAGAGAGAGAGAGAGAGAGAGAGAGAGAGAGAGAGAGAGAGAGAGAGAGAGAGAGAGAGAGGCAGCAGGAGGGAGAGAGGGAUGUUAGGAAAGGGAGAGUAUACAGAGAGGGAGGAAAUAACAGUGGUGAGAUAUAUUUUUAGUCAAAGUAAAUAAAGAACAAGGAAGAAAAAGCAAAAAAA